This 494-nucleotide ribosomal RNA is filed under the name Tumebacillus sp. BK434. Its description in RNAcentral is "partial 23S ribosomal RNA". It matches the Rfam family "Bacterial large subunit ribosomal RNA", at positions 1 to 483 of the family's 2925-position model. The record is from RNAcentral. Lineage: Bacteria; Bacillati; Bacillota; Bacilli; Caryophanales; Alicyclobacillaceae.
UUAGGUUAAGCUACGAAGGGCGCACGGAGGAUGCCUUGGCGCCAAGAGCCGAUGAAGGACGGGGCAAACACCGAAAUGCCUCGGGGAGCCGUAAGCAGGCGUUGAUCCGGGGGUAUCCGAAUGGGGCAACCCGGCACUCGUAAUGGAGUGUCACUCAGCACUGAAUCCAUAGGUGUUGAGAGGUAGACCAGGGGAACUGAAACAUCUAAGUACCCUGAGGAAGAGAAAACAAUAGUGAUUCUCCUAGUAGCGGCGAGCGAACGGGGAACAGCCCAAACCGUGUGGCUUCGGCCAUGCGGGGUUGCGGGGCGUCUCACAUGGAGUUACAAAUCUGUUUGGUAGAAGAACGGCUUGGAACGGCCGACCGCAGAGGGUGAAAGUCCCGUAUUCAAAAUCAACCAGACUCCGAGACGAUACCCCAAGUACCGCGGGACACGAGAAAUCCCGUGGGAAUCAGGGAGGACCACCUCCCAAGGCUAAAUACUACUUGGCGA